GCUAGCUUUGAAGAAGCCCGACGAGACGCGCCGUACCGGGACGAAGGCAAAGACGACGCAGC
This 62-nucleotide non-coding RNA is filed under the name Streptomyces zinciresistens K42. The record is from RNAcentral. Lineage: Bacteria; Bacillati; Actinomycetota; Actinomycetes; Kitasatosporales; Streptomycetaceae. RNAcentral also lists the same sequence under 1 other name.